Molecule: ribosomal RNA, 497 nt
Filed under: uncultured bacterium
Lineage: Bacteria
Description: partial 16S ribosomal RNA
Rfam family: Bacterial small subunit ribosomal RNA
Source: RNAcentral
GUUGAACGCUGGCGGCGUGCCUAAUACAUGCAAGUCGAGCGAACAGACGAGGAGCUUGCUCCUCUGACGUUAGCGGCGGACGGGUGAGUAACACGUGGAUAACCUACCUAUAAGACUGGGAUAACUUCGGGAAACCGGAGCUAAUACCGGAUAAUAUAUUGAACCGCAUGGUUCAAUAGUGAAAGACGGUUUUGCUGUCACUUAUAGAUGGAUCCGCGCCGCAUUAGCUAGUUGGUAAGGUAACGGCUUACCAAGGCAACGAUGCGUAGCCGACCUGAGAGGGUGAUCGGCCACACUGGAAUUGAGACACGGUCCAGACUCCUACGGGAGGCAGCAGUAGGGAAUCUUCCGCAAUGGGCGAAAGCCUGACGGAGCAACGCCGCGUGAGUGAUGAAGGUCUUCGGAUCGUAAAACUCUGUUAUUAGGGAAGAACAAAUGUGUAAGUAACUAUGCACGUCUUGACGGUACCUAAUCAGAAAGCCACGGCUAACUACGUG